GGAGUUAGCCGGUGCUUCUUCUGUGAGUGAUGUCCUUCCUGCCGGUUAUUGACCCGCAGGCCUUCUUCCUCACUGAAAGUGCUUUACAACCCGAAGGCCUUCUUCACACACGCGGCAUGGCUGGAUCAGGGUUGCCCCCAUUGUCCAAUAUUCCCCACUGCUGCCUCCCGUAGGAGUCUGGGCCGUGUCUCAGUCCCAGUGUGGCUGAUCAUCCUCUCAGACCAGCUACGGAUCGUCGCCUUGGUGAGCCGUUACCUCACCAACCAGCUAAUCCGACAUAGGCUCAUCCGAUAGCGCGAGGCCCGAAGGUCCCCCGCUUUCCCCCGUAGGGCGUAUGCGGUAUUAGCCUGGGUUUCCCCAGGUUAUCCCCCACUACCGGGCAGAUUCCUAUGCAUUACUCACCCGUCCGCCGCUCGCCACCAGGGAGCAAGCUCCCCGUGCUGCCGCUCGACUUGCAUGUGUUAGGCCUGCCGCCAGCGUUCAAUCUGAGCCAGNGANACACUNACACUGCGGCGCGUCGACGACGGCGACAG
RNAcentral lists this ribosomal RNA (533 nucleotides) under uncultured bacterium. RNAcentral's name for it is "partial 16S ribosomal RNA". The record is from RNAcentral.